Molecule: ribosomal RNA, 301 nt
Filed under: uncultured bacterium
Lineage: Bacteria
Description: partial 16S ribosomal RNA
Rfam family: Bacterial small subunit ribosomal RNA
Source: RNAcentral
CAGUAGCCGCGGUAAUACGUAGGUGGCAAGCGUUGUCCGGAAUUAUUGGGCGUAAAGCGCGCGCAGGCGGAUCGGUCAGUCUGUCUUAAAAGUUCGGGGCUUAACCCCGUGAUGGGAUGGAAACUGCCAAUCUAGAGUAUCGGAGAGGAAAGUGGAAUUCCUAGUGUAGCGGUGAAAUGCGUAGAUAUUAGGAAGAACACCAGUGGCGAAGGCGACUUUCUGGACGAAAACUGACGCUGAGGCGCGAAAGCCAGGGGAGCGAACGGGAUUAGAUACCCGCGUAGUCCCUGUCUCUUAUACA